Non-coding RNA from Xyrichtys novacula (pearly razorfish), 1130 nucleotides. The record is from the annotation of a GenBank genome assembly. NCBI's taxonomy places the organism in Eukaryota, Metazoa, Chordata, Actinopteri, Labriformes, Labridae.
CUCGGAUCUUGCUACUGCUUUAUGAGUAAAGUAAACAAAGACGGAGGCAGAGAGCAGCUUCGGAGGAGAAACAUCCAGCAGUGUGAACAACCUCUUCAUAUUGAGGUCUUUGGCUUACACUAUCGGCAUUUCCUGUGAGUGUUGCAUGACUUUUGGUGAGCACAGAGAUACACACUAUCAGACACUUAUUUGUUUGUUUUUAGAGCUGCUUCUGUACUGGCACUAAUAUGGGGCAGCUGCAUACCCUUUCAACACUUUAUUUUUUAUAUUUACAUUUGUAUUGACAGUGUAUCAUGACUGCCACUUGUUUUACAGAAAGCAAAUUAUUGGUCAUUCUCCAGUGCCUUUACUUUUAUUUAUACAGCCGCUUUAUUUCAUUUGAGAUUGUUUGUUCAAGGUUUUCAAUAAUGUGGUGAAGGUUCAGAAAAAUAAAAGAUAGCGUGCUUGAAAGCCACAUGUGUAAGCUCUCAAAUACUUUUUGAAUUCUGUUUCUAUUUGCUACAGAGGCUGAGAUAUCAGUUUUUUCGUAAACCUCAAUACUUCAGGAAACCUCAGGAUCUGGGGGCCCUUCUCAAAAUGGCCCUCAGAAUUUCAGGAGCAUGUCUCAGACAGGGUUGAUUGUCUUUUGCAAUGUUGGAGGUGGAGAAUCUGCACCUAAAGAAGUGUCUUUCCUGAUGCAAUAACUGGAUUUUCUGGAGGUGUUUUGUUAAUGCUCUAUUGAAGGAUUUGUGCAAUUGAGAAAUCAAAGUUUCUAUUUUAUUGUUUUUAUGUUGGAGAUGGAGAUUAUGCACCUUAAAAAGUGUCUUUCCUGUUCUUGCACAAGAUAAAUAACUAAAGUGUUUUUUUUUUCUAUGAAAGGAUUUGUGCAAUUGAGAAAUAUUUCAUUUUUGUUGUUAUGUUGAUAAUAAUAAUACAAAACUAUCUUAACUGAAAUUUUGAAUUGAAAACAGAAUUUUAUUUAAUGGGUGUGUUUCCUACGGGAAGCUACGGAAGCCCUGAGCGAACAUGGUUUAUUAAAUUUUUUUUUUACCCUGUUCUCUCGAGAUCCCGAAUUAAUUUGCGGUGGACUAGAAACAUUGGGCUGAUCACUGUAUGUGGCGCGGUGUCUAUGGUGUCUGCCUUCUGCGACA